AGUGAACGCUGGCGGUAGGCCUAACACAUGCAAGUCGAACGGCAGCACAGUAAGAGCUUGCUCUUACGGGUGGCGAGUGGCGGACGGGUGAGGAAUACAUCUGAAUCUACUUUUUCGUGGGGGAUAACGUAGGGAAACUUACGCUAAUACCGCAUACGACCUACGGGUGAAAGCAGGGGAUCUUCGGACCUUGCGCGAUUGAAUGAGCCGAUGUCGGAUUAGCUAGUUGGCGGGGUAAAGGCCCACCAAGGCGACGAUCCGUAGCUGGUCUGAGAGGAUGAUCAGCCACACUGGAACUGAGACACGGUCCAGACUCCUACGGGAGGCAGCAGUGGGGAAUAUUGGACAAUGGGCGCAAGCCUGAUCCUGCCAUACCGCGUGGGUGAAGAAGGCCUUCGGGUUGUAAAGCCCUUUUGUUGGGAAAGAAAAGCAGCAGGUUAAUACCCCGCUGUUCUGACGGUACCCAAAGAAUAAGCACCGGCUAACUUCGUG
RNAcentral lists this ribosomal RNA (492 nucleotides) under uncultured bacterium. RNAcentral describes it as "partial 16S ribosomal RNA". It matches the Rfam family "Bacterial small subunit ribosomal RNA", at positions 29 to 507 of the family's 1533-position model. The record is from RNAcentral.